RNAcentral lists this ribosomal RNA (424 nucleotides) under uncultured bacterium. RNAcentral describes it as "partial 16S ribosomal RNA". It matches the Rfam family "Bacterial small subunit ribosomal RNA", at positions 360 to 776 of the family's 1533-position model. The record is from RNAcentral.
AAUAUUGGACACUGGGCGACAGCCUGAUCCAGCCAUGCCGCGUGUGUGAAGAAGGUCUUCGGCUUGUAAAGCACUUUAUGUUGGGAGGAAGGGUUGUAGGUUAAUACCCUGCAUUUUUGACGUUACCACCAGAAUAAGCACCCGCUAACUUCGUGCCAGCAGCCGCGGUAAUACGAAGUGUGCAAGCGUUACUCGGAAUUACUUGGCGUAAAGGUGGCGUAAGUGGUGCGUUAAAUUGGAAGUGAAAGCCCAGGGCUUAAACUGGGAAUUGCUUUAAAAACUGACGAGCUAGAGUACGGUAGAGGGUAGUGGAAUUUCCUGUGUAGCGGUGAAAUGCGUAGAUAUAGGAAGGAACAUCAGUGGCGAAGGCGACCACCUGGGCUAAUACUGACACUGAGGUGCGAAAGCGUGGGGAGCAAACAGG